GUGCAGCAGCCGCGGUGAUACGGAGGGUGCAAGCGUUAAUCGGAAUAACUGGGCGUAAAGGGCAUGCAGGCGGUUCAUCAAGUAGGAUGUGAAAUCCCCGGGCUCAACCUGGGAACAGCAUACUAAACUGGUGGACUAAAGUAUUGCAGGGGGAGACGGAAUUCCAGGUGUAGCGGUGGAAUGCGUAGAUAUCUGGAAGAACACCAAAGGCGAAGGCAGUCUCCUGGGCAAAUACUGACGCUCAUAUGCGAAAGCGUGGGUAGCAAACAGGAUUAGAUACCCUGGUAGUCCACGCCGUAAACGAUGUCAAUUAGGAGCUUGGGGGUUCCGCAGCUAACGCAAUAAAUUGACCGCCUGGGGAGUACGGCCGCAAGGUUAAAACUCAAAUGAAUUGACGGGGGCCCGCACAAGCGGUGGAGCAUGUGGUUUAAUUCGACGCAACGCGAAGAACCUUACCUGAUCUUGACAUCCAGGUGCUGCAUGGCUGUCGUCAGCUCGUGUCGUGAGAUGUUGGGUUAAGUCCCGCAACGAGCGCAACCCUUGUCCUUUGUUGC
RNAcentral lists this ribosomal RNA (554 nucleotides) under uncultured bacterium. RNAcentral describes it as "bacterial SSU rRNA". It matches the Rfam family "Bacterial small subunit ribosomal RNA", at positions 505 to 1118 of the family's 1533-position model. The record is from RNAcentral.